UACAGAGGGGGCAAGCGUUAUUCGGAAUUAUUGGGCGUAAAGGGCGCGUAGGCGGCUUGGCAAGUGGAAGGUGAAAUCCCUAGGCUUAACCGAGGAACUGCCUUCCAGACUGCUUUGCUUGAGGCCGGGAGAGGCGAGUGGAAUUCCCAGUGUAGCGGUGAAAUGCGUAGAUAUUGGGAGGAACACCAGUGGCGAAGGCGGCUCGCUGGACCGGUUCUGACGCUGAUGCGCGAAAGCCAGGGGAGCGAACGGG
Molecule: ribosomal RNA, 253 nt
Filed under: uncultured bacterium
Lineage: Bacteria
Description: partial 16S ribosomal RNA
Rfam family: Bacterial small subunit ribosomal RNA
Source: RNAcentral